CAAUAGCGUAUAUUUAAGUUGUUGCAGUUAAAAAGCUCGUAGUUGGAUUUCGGUUGAGAGCGGCCGGUCCGCCGUUUGGUGUGCACUGCCGGCAUCCGCCUUUCUGUCGGGGACGGGCUCCUGGGCUUCAUUGCUUGGGACUCGGGUUCGACGUGGUUACUUUGAGUAAAUUAGAGUGUUCAAAGCAGGCGAUCGCCCUGAAUACAUUAGCAUGGAAUAGCACGAUAGGACUCUGGCCUAUUUUGCUGGUCUGUAGGACCGGAGUAAUGAUUAAGAGGGACAGUCGGGGGCAUUCGUAUUUCAUUGUCAGAGGUGAAAUUCUUGGAUUUAUGAAAGACGAACUUCUGCGAAAGCAUUUGCCAAGGAUGUUUUCAUUGA
Molecule: ribosomal RNA, 378 nt
Filed under: uncultured eukaryote
Lineage: Eukaryota
Description: partial 18S ribosomal RNA
Rfam family: Eukaryotic small subunit ribosomal RNA
Source: RNAcentral